This 408-nucleotide ribosomal RNA is filed under the name uncultured bacterium. Its description in RNAcentral is "bacterial SSU rRNA". It matches the Rfam family "Bacterial small subunit ribosomal RNA", at positions 28 to 414 of the family's 1533-position model. The record is from RNAcentral.
GACGAACGCUGGCGGCGUGCUUAACACAUGCAAGUCGAACGAGACGAUUUAGAAGCUUGCUUUUAUUGAGUCGAGUGGCAAACGGGUGAGUAACGCGUAGACAACCUGCCGCAAAGAUGGGGACAACAGUCCGAAAGGACUGCUAAUACCGAAUGUUGUAUCUCCUCCGCAUGGAAGAGAUAUUAAAGAUGGCCUCUACUUGUAAGCUAUCGCUUUGCGAUGGGUCUGCGUCUGAUUAGCUAGUUGGUGGGGCAACGGGCCUACCAAGGCGACGAUCAGUAGCCGGUCUGAGAGGAUGAACGGCCACAUUGGAACUGAGACACGGUCCAGACUCCUACGGGAGCAGCAGUGGGAAUCUUCCGCAAUGGACGAAAGUCUGACGGAGCAACGCCGCGUGAACGAUGACGG